This is a non-coding RNA of Myodes glareolus (Bank vole), 629 nucleotides long. The record is from RefSeq and is a predicted model, not a curated record. NCBI's taxonomy places the organism in Eukaryota, Metazoa, Chordata, Mammalia, Rodentia, Cricetidae.
CUCAGGAGGCAGAGGCAGGCAGAUCUCUGUAAAUUCGAGGCCAACCUGGACUCUGCCUUUGCACAGUUUGCCAGGCUGUGAGGAGCCCAGCGCGAGGGGCUGGAAGCCCGUGGUGAUGGAGAGAAGCUGGGUCCUGCACUUCAGAGACCAUCUUCUGGGCAAGGAAAGCCUGCUCUUUACAAGAGUCACUCUCGCGGUGCUUUGUUUGUAUGUAAUAAAUAAAGUCUGCCUGAAGACCAGAAUGCAAAGCUAAGCCACUAGAGGCCAGGGAAUGAUGUCACAAACCUUUAAUCCCAGGACUCGGGAGACAGAGGCAGAAGGAUCUCUGUGAGUUCAAGGUUACCCUGGGCUACACGGGAUCCAUCAAGAAACAAAUCUAGGUGGUAGUAGCUCACAUCUUUAAUCCCAGUGUUUGGGAGUCACACACUUUUAAUCCCAGCACUAGGGAUGUGGAGACAGGAAUAAUAUGGCUGAGGGGAGAAAGAAACAUAAAGGGAACUCACUGGACUGAGGAGUCUGGGGAUUUGUGGAAACAGGAUCUUGCCCUUUCGGUCUGAAGAUUUGGCAGAGGUGAAAGAUCUCUCUAGUGCUUGGCUGCUUUGCUUUCUGAUCUUGAGCUUGAACCCCAA